AAGGGAGACCUAAUUCGGGUAUAAGACGAAAAAAUAGUAGUCGAAACCAAGAAUCAAUCCCAAAAGGUCGGAACGAGGUAUGUGGCUUUCAAACUAGGUUCUGGGUUCACGAAAGACCUGAAUCAGGAACAAGGGCUAUUAGCUCAGGUGGUUAGAGCGCACCCCUGAUAAGGGUGAGGUCCCUGGUUCGAGUCCAGGAUGGCCCACCUGCACAGGUGGCAAAAACAAAGAAGCGAGGAAUCAGCACCUUAUCUUACUUAUAUAGUAAGAGAGAAUGCUGGCUCUGAGUAAAGAGUCCAGAGGAACCUUGAAAACUGCAUAGAGCUAGGUGAAAAAGCCAAAAAAGAAGACCGCAA
This 356-nucleotide transfer RNA is filed under the name Microcystis aeruginosa MP05F6. Its description in RNAcentral is "partial 16S-23S ribosomal RNA intergenic spacer". The stretch from base 133 to 206 matches the Rfam family "tRNA". The record is from RNAcentral. Lineage: Bacteria; Bacillati; Cyanobacteriota; Cyanophyceae; Chroococcales; Microcystaceae.